Molecule: long non-coding RNA, 314 nt
Organism: Camelina sativa (false flax)
Lineage: Eukaryota; Viridiplantae; Streptophyta; Magnoliopsida; Brassicales; Brassicaceae
Source: RefSeq, a predicted model, not a curated record
CGAGGAUUUGGAGUUGUACAGUUAGAACAAACCGUAUGCAGUGACGGUGUUGUCUAUCCCAGAAGGUUUCCCAUGGAUGAUCUUUUCGCCUUCAAAAGCCCAUUUAUUUAGUAACUCAAGAUUGGUUUGGUGAUCUCAAAGGAGUAAUAACAAAGGAAAAGCUUUUGAAAAGUGAUCAGAAUAACAAAGGAAACAGACAAGAUGCACAACAAGAAACGAUCUUUAUCUAUACAUUUCCCAGAUUCAAACAACUGAUAAUUGAACACAACCAACUCUGCAAAUAAAAUAAUAUAAUAAGCCCUUUUGCUCCAAAA